Schistosoma mattheei is the source of this 76-nucleotide non-coding RNA. Lineage: Eukaryota; Metazoa; Platyhelminthes; Trematoda; Strigeidida; Schistosomatidae. The record is from Rfam.
UGCUUUUUGUAUCUGUACCGAGAUUUUGUCAGACACCAGGCCAUAAGUACUGAUGAGACUCAAGAUCAGUGAGGCG